Molecule: non-coding RNA, 95 nt
Filed under: Aeromicrobium marinum
Lineage: Bacteria; Bacillati; Actinomycetota; Actinomycetes; Propionibacteriales; Nocardioidaceae
Also listed under: 1 other name
Description: Glycine sequence
Rfam family: Glycine riboswitch aptamer
About the family: This family represents the bacterial glycine riboswitch. Glycine riboswitches usually consist of two metabolite-binding aptamers domains with similar structures in tandem.
Source: RNAcentral
UGAUGACGCGUGGGAGAGACUGACCCACCCAGGGCAGCGCCGAAGGGGCAAUUCCUCCCCGGAACCUCUCAGGCACCCAGGACCACGCGGGCGAG